This 73-nucleotide transfer RNA is filed under the name Synapturanus sp. MZUSP 159223. RNAcentral describes it as "tRNA-Asn". The record is from RNAcentral. Lineage: Eukaryota; Metazoa; Chordata; Amphibia; Anura; Microhylidae.
UAGAAUGAGGCUUGUAGGAUUGAGCAUUUAGCUGUUAACUAAGUUUUUGCGGGAUCGAGGCCCGUCUUUCUAG